Molecule: ribosomal RNA, 253 nt
Filed under: uncultured bacterium
Lineage: Bacteria
Description: partial 16S ribosomal RNA
Rfam family: Bacterial small subunit ribosomal RNA
Source: RNAcentral
UACGUAGGGUGCGAGCGUUAAUCGGAAUUACUGGGCGUAAAGUGUGCGCAGGCGGCUGCGCAAGUCGAGUGUGAAAGCCCCGGGCUUAACUUGGGAAUUGCGCUCGAAACUACGUGGCUGGAGUGUGGCAGAGGAAGGUGGAAUUCCAGGUGUAGCGGUGAAAUGCGCAGAUAUCGGGAGGAACACCAAUUGCGAAGGCAGCUCGCUGGGACGUUACUGACGCUGAGACGCGAAAGCGUGGGGAGCAAACAGG